This is an RNA transcript of Zea mays, 2928 nucleotides long. RefSeq lists it as uncharacterized. The record is from RefSeq and is marked validated. The transcript is spliced from 10 exons. NCBI's taxonomy places the organism in Eukaryota, Viridiplantae, Streptophyta, Magnoliopsida, Poales, Poaceae.
GGGUCAUGGGUGGAACUCGAACCAAACGACCCCUAGAUCUAUUUCGGCGUUUUGCGUGUCCAUUUACCUAGAGAAAGCCAAGUACCAAAACCUCUUCCCGGCGGCCAAAUCUGAUGUUCCCGAUUCAAAUUCCCACCCCGGCGGCCGCCGGCCUUGUUCGCACCCUUACAACGCCGCCGUCAGCUUUCCAAUCUACCACCCACGCGCCGUUUCUCAGCGGUGUCAUUAACAGCGCUGCAGCCCGCAGCUGCCGCAAGCGCCGCUACGCCGAUGCCCACGAGGGCGCCUCCUCACCUCGCCGCCGCCGCCGCCGCCGCUUCCUCCUCGUCCCCAACUCGUUCCUGGCCGGCCGGUCCUUCGCUCUCCGUACUCUCGCUAGCGCCCUCCACAAGCGCCGCCACGACGCCGCCACCUCCUCGGCUCGCCCCUCCAGUCGCCGCCUCCGCCUUCUAAGCCCCGUCCUUUUCCCCGCCCUCCGGCCGCUUAGCCCCCGCGUUUCGCUAGCCACCGCCCCGCGUAGCCACCGCAAGAUUCACGUCGACGACGCCCGCCGCGCCGUCUCUACUCCCUGUCGCCGCCGCAGACGUAGCAGUCUGCUUCCCAGGGUCAGACACUUCCGCCCAUUCGCACUCCGUUUCCUCCUCACGCCCGGUGCAUUAAGCCCUCACCGUCGCCGGAAACCCGCCGAGGUAGACAUGGGCAACCUCAUCUCACAGUUACUGUGGAAGAGCACCAGGGACGGUGUAUCAGAGGCGCACACGAAGCGGCUCGAUGGGUCGCCGGAAGUGGUGGAUCUCACAGUGGAGCCAGAGCUUGAAAAUAACGAUGCCGUGGGGAGGAUGUUUGGAGACCGGAGCGUCCCUGCACUGGGGUCAUCAAAGUCGCCGGAGAAGAAGGCAACGUUCUACGAGGAGCCGCACGGUAGAAGAUUACAGGAGUCAGGAUUCAAGAAGCUCAAGCUUGCCGAGCUGCCUGAUCCGCUGGACAAUACGUCUAAGGAGGAUCUAUCUGAACUAUUCACACCUCUAAGUGACAAAGACGAAAGAGAAGUCAAUGCUCUGUUGUGUAGUAGUGAUGACAGUGAUAAAAUCGUAGUGAUACAUACGCCUUCUAACAUCGAGAUUACUAAAGAGAAACUUCAAUGCUUGAGGCCUCGUGGGUGGUUGAAUGAUGAGGUCAUUAAUCUGUACAUUGAACUGUUAAAGGAGAGGGAAAAAAGGGAACCCAACAGGUUUUUGAAAUGCCAUUUCUUCAAUACAUUCUUCUACAAGAGGCUUACUUGCGGAAUAGCUGGUUAUGAUUACCAGUCUGUUAGGAGAUGGACAACAUUCAAGAGGCUGGGUUAUGGACUUGUCGAGUGUGAGAAAAUCUUUGUUCCAGUGCAUAGAAAUGCACAUUGGUGUUUGGCACUAAUAAACAUGAAGGAUAAAACAUUGCAGUAUCUUGAAUCUCUUGUUGGUUGGGGCCGUGAUGUACUGGACAUACUGGUAUAUAUAAUUGAUAUUCAUUAUCAAGAAAGCAAAAUUACAAAGUACGAUGUUCUUCAUAAAAGGACCCAGCACAAAAUUAAAGGGCCUGCAAGAUUUCUCUAUUGUUGGAUUGAAGCACUACAGUUAAAUUUUCUGUCUGGCAGGCUAGAUACAUCGUGGAUGAAUUGAAGGACAAGAGUAACAUAGAGGUAGAACCUAGUUCGUGGACUGUAGUGUCAGAGUCUUUGCCCUUGCAGCAGAACGGGUGGGACUGUGGCAUGUUUAUGCUUAAAUACAUUGAUUUCCAUAGCAGAGGUAUCAAACCAUCUUUCAGUCAGGAACACAUGAUGUAUUUUAGGAAACGAAUAGCAAAAGAGAUCAUGGCAUUAAGAGCCGACUGAAGAACACCAUUCUGACAUUGUCUCAAGUCAGAUGGAUAAACAACUGUGAACCUAGGAGCAACUUCAAACUUUUCAGGUUCAAAUCAUAAAGCUGUACCGAGCUGGACACAUGUCUGCACUUGAACAACAAACCACCAACCACUACAGUUUCUCUAUUUCUCUAGUUAGCUAGGAGCACAAGGCAGAACAUUGAAUGCUGAUAGAGGGUAGAUCACCCCAUUUCACAAAAACUUGUGGCAAACCAAUAGCAAUCUUAACAAAUCGAAUCAUCUUCCCACCAGUAGAAAUGUGACUGACUGGCUACUUAGAUGCCUAAAAAUGCUCUGCACAGUGACUCCCAAUGCUCCUUAGCCAGGCGAACACGUUCAACUCGCUCCAACCGCGUUCUCUUCUAAGGGCUUGUGCUUACCUGUGUCUCAGCAGCAUGUUGAGUGCAUCCAGGUGCAUAGCGUCAGAAAAGACCCCUUGCUGAACAUCAACUGGUGUGACGGAUGCAGCAGAACAGCAGCAUAGGUAGCAGAAUAUGUGGCCACAUGAAAGAGAGACCGGAUCAAACAUUGUGUCCUGUAAAUAAAUAAAACAUGGAAGGAUGAAGAGUUUGGUUAUGGAUUUUAAAUAGAGAGGACAGAGAAGGAUGCAUUGUGCUCUUAAUCCAAGUCUGUCUACAGAGCACUGUACUCGUCAGAAGUGCAAACUCACCAGGCAUAUGGAUUAUGGAACAUGUAAGGCUAAUAUCAACACGCAUGAAGUCCAAGAGGUUGGACGAGAGCGUUGGCCUGUCGUCGUCGCCGUCGCCAAAGAGCUCCAUUGCACCAUUAUUCAGCUACACAGCCAUGGGGAUUGGAGGAUCUCGAUGUGGAGACUCUGGGCUUGAGCUUUGAACUCUUGCCCUUGCUUUGAGCAGUGGAUCUCAUCAUCUUCUUGGCUAAAAACAGUCACCUUUUUGCAUGCCAAAACGGAAUGGAACCUGGCUCUCAUCAUCUUCCUCCACGACUCCACCACUUUGCCAAAGCCCGUAAUAUGUUUUUUUUUAAUAAAUGUGUUCCACUGUUUAUUUA